GUACGUGCAUCUGUAUUAUUUAAAUAAUGAGCUUCAAGAAUAUAGAUGUUUUACACACACACAUACACACACACACACACACACCUAAUCAUAAUUUACACUUCUGCUACCAGUGUUUUACCAUCACACACACACACACACACACACACACACACACACACGUCAAAGGAUCAAGUUUCCACCCAGUGUUUUGUUCUUGAAUUUUAUUUAUUUAAUGAUUCCAUUUUUCAUAAGAACUUGGUAGAAAACAAAGUGAGACUACUCUUUAACCAUUUACCAAUGUCCAUCAAUCAACUUUAAAUCACCGUCAAGAUACAACUACAUUGGCAAUAGACAAAUGCUUCCCUGUACACACUAUCCACUGAACAGCCCCCUUGUCAUCAAUGCCAAUGGGAGAAAAAAAACCCACUACUUUAUUAACAGCCAAACGACAUUUCCAUGUAAAAAAAAAAAGUGUAGUCGUCUCUCCUGUUUUUACCCUCUCCGUCCUCCUCGUGGCAAAACAACACAUUGAACAUUGCAAGCUCAUUACUAUGCAUAAUUGGCAAACAAUAUAUUUAAAAAACAGUCCCAAUGUUUAUUUUCUUAUUUUUUUUUGUUCAUCGUUGAUAUAAAGAAUAUAAAAUAAUAAUAAAAAGAUGUAUGUUUUUAUCAUUUGUUCAAAGGUUGUGUCUGAGUGUAUUAAAAUAGAUUUGUAUUGAAACACUGCACAGUUUCUCCCGGAGGAUUCUGGGUGAUGUAGUCUGGGAUACCUCUGGAUGGGGAUAAUGGAUGAAGGGCACACUGUGGAGGUGGUAGAAGCUGCUUCACUAAAAACCUCUGAUCUGAAGUCAGGUUAUGUAUUCUGUAUUCUCCUAAUGUUAAAGUGAGCCUGAUCCUAGAUCUGUGGGGUUGAACUUGAUGCAACGUGAUAUGGCACCAGUCUUUCCCUCUCUUGGGGAUUUGAUUCCCAUCAGAAUGGUAGACCGUAUGCUGUGCAGAUGCUCAUCUCUGUCACGGUCUGGCGUGAUAUUCCAUGUUGGAAGAGGCAGAGCUCAUGAUAUGUAUUGAAUGUUGGACAAGACUAAGGAAUGGUAAAGCCCUAUUAGAAAGAAAGAGUCGGACGGACGGACGGACGGACGGAUCAGUAGAUAGACAGAUAGAUAGAUAGAUCAGUAGACAGAUAGAUAGAUAGAUCAGUAGACAGAUAGAUAGAUAGAUCAACAGAUAGAUAGAUAGAUCAACAGAUAGAUAGAUAGAUCAGUAGACAGACAGACAGAUCAGUAGAUAGACAGAUAGAUAGAUAGAUCAAUAGAUAGAUAGAUCAGUAGACAGACAGACGGAUAAGUAGAUCAGACAGAUCAGUCGAUAUGUUAGUUAGUUGAUAUGGAUGUCCUCAGUGUGUUUUGAGGCUUGGUAUGGAUGACAGUUGGAUCAGUCCUCUCUAUAGUCCUAGCGCUGUCAACAACUCCUGCCCAAAGUGUUCUACACUACAUCAUAGAUUCCGGUCUCUUAAAUAAAAUAAAAUAAUAAUCUCCAAAAAACAAGUCUUUUAUUCGAUAUGUAUUGGUGGUCUCUUCUAAUUAUUGCAUUUACCUUCUCAUUUGAUCAGUUUGGUUCCAACACAAAUACAGAUUAUAAUAUGUUGUCCUCUCUUUAGAGUGAUAUAUUUUCUCUUGAUUCCCAUUGUUUGUUUUUGUUCCUCAGUGUGUCAUUUUAGAAUAGAGGGAUCCCACAACACAGCAUUGAUUUGAUCAUCAGGAACACCUUUACACCUUUAGGACCCCCCCGUGAUGAAGUCUAACUAGAGAUCAACACUGAGCUGUUGCAGAGUGAUAUGACAGUCCUCUUCCCCCCCAUUCACUGGUGUUUGAUUGUUUAUUAAAUUAUAGAAUAAAGAAACCCUGGUUGGAUUCUAGUUGUUCUCGAGGCAGUGUUCAUUUUGUACCUUCUAGCAGACUAGAAAACAGUUCAUUUGUACCUAUCUAACAGACUAGAAACAGAACAAUAGAAACAGUUGAAAUCAGCAGGCUCUUCAAAUGUCAAGUCAUCAUAACGAACAUCAUUUAGAG
Long non-coding RNA from Oncorhynchus tshawytscha (Chinook salmon), 2051 nucleotides. The record is from Ensembl. NCBI's taxonomy places the organism in Eukaryota, Metazoa, Chordata, Actinopteri, Salmoniformes, Salmonidae.